AUUUAGCCAGCUCAGUGGUUAAGAUGUUAGACUACUGAUCAGAAGGUUGUGAGUUCAAAUCCCAGCGCUGCCAAUG
Non-coding RNA from Pangasius djambal, 76 nucleotides. The record is from the annotation of a GenBank genome assembly. NCBI's taxonomy places the organism in Eukaryota, Metazoa, Chordata, Actinopteri, Siluriformes, Pangasiidae.